RNAcentral lists this long non-coding RNA (1374 nucleotides) under Olea europaea (common olive). Its description in RNAcentral is "long non-coding RNA (OEUR_LNC002855)". Lineage: Eukaryota; Viridiplantae; Streptophyta; Magnoliopsida; Lamiales; Oleaceae. The record is from RNAcentral.
CCGCAUUUAGCAUUAAAGGGGAUCAUACAUAAGUGUCUUGAUGAAAAUUGCAUCAAAACAUUAUAGCAAAUUGCCAUUCAAUUGCUUGAAAUCGCCUCAAAGUUGAAACUUGGUGAAUUAGUUUCACCAUCUCGUGCUCAUGGAAUUUACAAUUACAUGUAUCAGUUGCAUAAAUAUUUAGUUUCUUUACCAAGACCCUAUGCAAGACAUGUAGUCAUGAAUUUAGAACAAAUUAAACGUCUCUAUAUUCACUGCUGAGUUCUUGGAAACUACAGAAAGCAAAGCAAUAUAUCAGUAUCAAAACCACAAUCCAACGAAAAAAGAACAAAUAACUUUCUGUUCAGAAAAUCUUUAAUUUGUUUUCGACAUAAUAAUUUAAAGAAAAACUAUAAUUCCAAUUUACUUCAGCUAAAGAUUUCUAUAUGAUUUGCAUGUGAGUAAAUUAUAAACAUAGACAGCAAUUAUUCUCAGACAAUACAAGUACACAAAAGGUCAUUGUUGAAUGUAAUCAGACUUCACACUUAAGGGCAUAAAAAGCACAUUAAUGGUGCAUACGUGUUAGCACACACCUGAAGGAAUGUGUGAAGGUCAAAGAUCGAGAGAAUGCUUAUUCUACUCACAUCUAAGCUAUUGGUCGAGAACACUAAUGUACAAAUAUGCAAAUCAUUGCGUCCAUGUAGAUAAAGAGAGCAUUGGAAGUUUCAUAAGAUGAUCAUAUGAUGAUACGAAAUAACUUUGGAAAAAUUUAAAAUUGGACAUCUUACAUGAUAGAUUCCUACAAAUUAUGAAACUGUUAUGCUUUAAUUUUGCUAUCGAAUGGAAAAGUUUCCAUCAGAAGUGUCUCUAUGUGCGUGUGAGAGAGAAAUGAGUUAAGAGUCACUCCUCGGUAAAUAAAUAAUGCAUUAAAGCAAAGAGCACCUAAUCAUUUUUAAUUGUUGAUGAUGACAAGUAUGUAAAAAUUUGAAAAGUCCAAAAUUACCUCGUCAAUGUUGCAUAUAAAGGAUAAGACAACAAGUUCGAAAAAGCCAUCUCCGCAUCCGUUAUCAACUAAAUCCCAUCCUUCAACAGUUGAACGGUCUCUUACAUGUAUGAAUUCAUAAUACAAUAUAUAUAUAUAUAUUCACCAACCAAUGCAAAUAACAAAAUCAAAUGCUCAGCUAAGAACUAUGAAUAAUCACUUUGAUCUGAUAUCAGCUCAAUAUGUGAACCAAAAAAACAAAAAAAUAAAAUAAAAUAAUAUAUAUAAAUAAAGGAAUGCCCAACUACAAUAAUGUAGAAAAGGUUUAUCACAAAAAUAAGUGCAAAAGAAGAUGGAAGAGAAUGCUCUUACUUCUGCAGUGUUCUUCCCCGAUUUAGCAAAGAUACCAGUGCUCC